AAUAUCCUUCGGGGUCGGGUGAAAUUCCCAAUCGACGGUGAUGAAGUAAAACUUCUAAGCCCGUGAGCUUGAUAAGAGCAGGAUUUGGUGUGAGUCCAAAGCCGACAGUAUAGUCUGGAUGGGAGAAGGAUGUA
Viridibacillus arenosi FSL R5-213 is the source of this 134-nucleotide regulatory RNA element. It matches the Rfam family "FMN riboswitch aptamer (RFN element)". From Rfam's summary of the family: The RFN element is a highly conserved domain that is found frequently in the 5'-untranslated regions of prokaryotic mRNAs that encode for flavin mononucleotide (FMN) biosynthesis and transport proteins. Lineage: Bacteria; Bacillati; Bacillota; Bacilli; Caryophanales; Caryophanaceae. The record is from Rfam.